Arachis ipaensis is the source of this 796-nucleotide non-coding RNA. NCBI's taxonomy places the organism in Eukaryota, Viridiplantae, Streptophyta, Magnoliopsida, Fabales, Fabaceae. The record is from RefSeq and is a predicted model, not a curated record.
UAAUUUUUUGCAUGUGGAUACAAUACGGGAAAUGAUUAUGGGAAAAUGCAUAACUGCAAUUACUGUAAUAGCAUGACGCUAAUUUAAGUCAUUUGAGCAUUCUUUUUUGUUUUUGUCCGGGCGGAAAAGAGAAGAGCUUGUUAGUGUGUCAUAUUUGGUUUUUUUACUGUAUAGAACAUUUUAGUGUUUUGGAAUGUUUCAUAAUGUGCUAGAUGCUUAAUGCUGUAGGCAGAUUUUAGUGUUUUGUAGUUGUUGGUUUUGCUUGUUUUGGAAUGCUGAAUGCUGGUUUUGCUGAAAUGUUUUGGGUGAAGCUUUUUUUGUUACUCUGUUUUGGACUUUUGGUCUGUUCCACUGCCUCAGCCCCACCGUCGUGCUCCUUGUCCCGCUCUGUGCUCUGUCUUGAAGGAUCUAGUUCAUUCCUUAAUUGAUUGAGCAGGGUUCUGAGAAUGGUGACACUGUGAACUAUGCAACUGUGGUCAGGGAAGUGAAAGCAUAUUUGAAGAAAGGUGUUGCAGCAAAGGAAUUGCAGUCACAUAUUGCUGCAUUUCCUGUAUCUGCUCAGGAGAAGAUGAAUGCACUUCUUGAAGGAUUAUUUGAUGGCGUAGAAAAAGCCUUUGGAAAAGAAGCUAUCAAGAGGAAGAAUCACCUUGCUGCUGCAGUUGCUGGAGAUGACGAGGGAUCGCAGCUGUUAUUGCUCAAUGCUGUGAUGGCAAUAGAUGGAUGAGAUGAAAUUCAGAACAGUUUCAUGUAUGCGAACUAAGUUUCAGAUGAAAAACUUAUUAGGGCCUGGCUUCGU